Molecule: long non-coding RNA, 732 nt
Organism: Corvus hawaiiensis (hawaiian crow)
Lineage: Eukaryota; Metazoa; Chordata; Aves; Passeriformes; Corvidae
Exons: 3
Source: RefSeq, a predicted model, not a curated record
GGACAGGCUGGACAGGUGAUUCUAAGAAUCAUUGCAGGAUUCCGGGUUGUAUGAAGUGGGAGCACAACAUUUAAGAUGAAAGACGAAGGGACUUCAUCAGCAGCAAGGCCUCGCAAGUAGCCACUCCCAGGAGUUUGGAUGUUUCACGAACAAGGAAUGUUUGUGGCCCCACAGGGCUCUGGGACACGGCAUAAAAGGCUGCGCUGCUCCAGGCUCUGCAUCCUCCUCCUCUCUGGUGUGCCUUUCCUCGAGGAACGAGCUUUGCCUCCUGCGCCGAGAGAUGUCUUGCUGCAGACCCUGUCCCCCACGGCCCUGCGGCCCCUGUGGCCCAACCCCCCUUGCAAGCAGCUGCAGUGAGCCCUGUGUCGCCCGCUGCGCUGACUCCACGGUGUACAUCGAGCCUUCGCCGGUGGUGGUGACCAUGCCGGGCCCCAUCCUCACCUCUUUCCCUCAGAGCACAGCCGUGGGAUCCUCUCUGUCAGCUGCUGUGGGCAGCUCCCUCAGCAGUGCGGGGGUUCCCAUCUCUUCUGGGGGCUCCCUUGGGCUGGGGGGGUCAGGCCUGUGUCUGCCUUCCCCCCGCUGCGGUCAGAUCUGCUGAAGCCGGCGGCUCAUGCCCUCUGUCCUUGGCAAAUGGGCCGAUCUCUUUCCCUGCCUGUUCCCCGCACGCGUGUCCCUUGGUCUGUGUUCUGUGCCGCUGCUUUUGCUCCUUCUCAUUAAAGCCUUUGUGCAGCA